CCACAGCCCAAAAAUCUUCUCAACAGUGUGAUUGGAAGAGCCCUCGGCAUCUCACAUGCAAAAGACAAACUAGUCUACGUGCACACAAAUGGACCGAAGAAAAAGAAAGUCACACUGCACAUAAAGUGGCCCAAGAGCGUGGAGGUAGAAGGCUAUGGCAGCAAGAAGAUUGAUGCUGAGCGGCAGGCUGCAGCUGCGGCCUGCCAGCUGUUCAAGAGAUGGGAUUUUUCCAUGUUGCCCAGGCUGGUCUCAAACUCCUGGUCUCAAGCAAUCCUCCCACCUCAGCCUCGCAAAGUGCUGGGAUUACAGGUGUGAACCACCGCACCCGGCCAGGUUCCUAAGUCUUCAUCUCUGCUCUGACAAGAAAAAGCCACAGGAUGUGUAUUCCCUCAGCUUCUCUUCUACUCAUGGUCUCCAGGAUUUUACUGUUCCUUCUCUUUCCUGCAUUUGAAGAGGAAGGUCCCUGUUGCUAUUCUGGGCCCCCAUAGUACCCAUCUCUUUUCUCUGUUCCUGUAAUGGUCCAUUGCUAUAAAGGAAUACAUGAGACUGGGUAAUGUAUUAAAGAAA
Molecule: small RNA, 567 nt
Filed under: Pongo abelii (Sumatran orangutan)
Lineage: Eukaryota; Metazoa; Chordata; Mammalia; Primates; Hominidae
Description: processed transcript
Source: RNAcentral